Molecule: ribosomal RNA, 200 nt
Filed under: uncultured bacterium
Lineage: Bacteria
Description: partial 16S ribosomal RNA
Rfam family: Bacterial small subunit ribosomal RNA
Source: RNAcentral
GAUGAACGCUAGCGGCAGGCUUAAUACAUGCAAGGCGAGGGGGCAGCAAUGUCACCGUCGUACGGGUGCGUAACGCGUAUGCAACCUACCUAUCACUGGGGGAUAGCCCGGGGAAACCCGGAUUAAUACCGCAUAAUACAGGGGGCCCACAUGGGUCUAUUUGUUAAAGAUUUAUCGGUGGUAGAUGGGCAUGCGUUCGA